This is a long non-coding RNA of Solanum tuberosum (potato), 679 nucleotides long. RefSeq lists it as uncharacterized. NCBI's taxonomy places the organism in Eukaryota, Viridiplantae, Streptophyta, Magnoliopsida, Solanales, Solanaceae. The record is from RefSeq and is a predicted model, not a curated record. The transcript is spliced from 2 exons.
AGCAUAUGUCAAAAAGUCCAAUCCAGCAAAUUUCAGAGAAGAGUUCCUUCUCAGUUUUCUCUGUGAAUUUUUUUCCGUGAAAAAUACAAAGGAGGAAGUGGAGCUGUAGAGAAAAAAUGGAGGGGAAAACGGAGAAGGAAAACAAGUUUGUGAGGAAGACGGCGUGUGAUGUGGAGGCUCUGAAGAAGUGUUUGGAAGAAAAUAAAGGCGACUAUUUGAAAUGUCAGUCUCAUGUUGAAGCAUUUAGGUCAUCUUGCUCUAUCAACAAUUCUAAUUCUUCUUCACCAAAGCUCAAUUCCGUUGUCGAGGACCUCAAGUAAGCAACUUGAACGAAGAUUGGAGGACUGAAAUCCGUGUCUUUUGCUGCUAGCAGUAAUAAAACCAGAAAGAAGAUUCAAGUGUAAGUCACCACAUUGUUUGUAACAUUCCUCAAUUAAGGAUAUAGGUUUCUUAUCUUUGCUAUUUCUUCAGCUUUAAUAUCUUUUCAGAUACUCUCCCAGAAAUUUGUAGUUUGUGAUAAGUAGCAAAGAAGAGAACUAAUGAGGAAAACAAAAUGUUGGUGGAUGAGCAGUUGAAGAUUAUAUUGGCUGCUUUUAGUUUGUACAUGCAAGUAUUUCCUGUCACAAUAUGAAGAACUGAGUAAUUUAAAGUUCCAGUGGCAAAUUUAGUGACAAAAAAA